RNAcentral lists this small RNA (28 nucleotides) under Bombyx mori (domestic silkworm). Its description in RNAcentral is "ovarian small RNA-10265". Lineage: Eukaryota; Metazoa; Arthropoda; Insecta; Lepidoptera; Bombycidae. The record is from RNAcentral.
AACAUGCCUUGGCCCAUUCACGGCAGUU